ACUUAAAUUGAAGAGUUUGAUCAUGGCUCAGAUUGAACGCUGGCGGCAGGCCUAACACAUGCAAGUCGAGCGGUAACACAGAGAGCUUGCUCUCGGGUGACGAGCGGCGGACGGGUGAGUAAUGUCUGGGAAACUGCCUGAUGGAGGGGGAUAACUACUGGAAACGGUAGCUAAUACCGCAUAACGUCGCAAGACCAAAGUGGGGGACCUUCGGGCCUCAUGCCAUCAGAUGUGCCCAGAUGGGAUUAGCUAGUAGGUGGGGUAACGGCUCACCUAGGCGACGAUCCCUAGCUGGUCUGAGAGGAUGACCAGCCACACUGGAACUGAGACACGGUCCAGACUCCUACGGGAGGCAGCAGUGGGGAAUAUUGCACAAUGGGCGCAAGCCUGAUGCAGCCAUGCCGCGUGUGUGAAGAAGGCCUUCGGGUUGUAAAGCACUUUCAGCGGGGAGGAAGGCGGUGAGGUUAAUAACCUCACCGAUUGACGUUACCCGCAGAAGAAGCACCGGCUAACUCCGUGCCAGCAGCCGCGGUAAUACGGAGGGUGCAAGCGUUAAUCGGAAUUACUGGGCGUAAAGCGCACGCAGGCGGUCUGUCAAGUCGGAUGUGAAAUCCCCGGGCUCAACCUGGGAACUGCAUUCGAAACUGGCAGGCUAGAGUCUUGUAGAGGGGGGUAGAAUUCCAGGUGUAGCGGUGAAAUGCGUAGAGAUCUGGAGGAAUACCGGUGGCGAAGGCGGCCCCCUGGACAAAGACUGACGCUCAGGUGCGAAAGCGUGGGGAGCAAACAGGAUUAGAUACCCUGGUAGUCCACGCCGUAAACGAUGUCGAUUUGGAGGUUGUGCCCUUGAGGCGUGGCUUCCGGAGCUAACGCGUUAAAUCGACCGCCUGGGGAGUACGGCCGCAAGGUUAAAACUCAAAUGAAUUGACGGGGGCCCGCACAAGCGGUGGAGCAUGUGGUUUAAUUCGAUGCAACGCGAAGAACCUUACCUGGUCUUGACAUCCACAGAACUUUCCAGAGAUGGAUUGGUGCCUUCGGGAACUGUGAGACAGGUGCUGCAUGGCUGUCGUCAGCUCGUGUUGUGAAAUGUUGGGUUAAGUCCCGCAACGAGCGCAACCCUUAUCCUUUGUUGCCAGCGGUUCGGCCGGGAACUCAAAGGAGACUGCCAGUGAUAAACUGGAGGAAGGUGGGGAUGACGUCAAGUCAUCAUGGCCCUUACGACCAGGGCUACACACGUGCUACAAUGGCAUAUACAAAGAGAAGCGACCUCGCGAGAGCAAGCGGACCUCAUAAAGUAUGUCGUAGUCCGGAUUGGAGUCUGCAACUCGACUCCAUGAAGUCGGAAUCGCUAGUAAUCGUAGAUCAGAAUGCUACGGUGAAUACGUUCCCGGGCCUUGUACACACCGCCCGUCACACCAUGGGAGUGGGUUGCAAAAGAAGUAGGUAGCUUAACCUUCGGGAGGGCGCUUACCACUUUGUGAUUCAUGACUGGGGUGAAGUCGUAACAAGGUAACCGUAGGGGAACCUGCGGUUGGAUCACCUCCUUACCUUAAAGAA
Molecule: ribosomal RNA, 1554 nt
Filed under: Klebsiella pneumoniae
Lineage: Bacteria; Pseudomonadati; Pseudomonadota; Gammaproteobacteria; Enterobacterales; Enterobacteriaceae
Description: bacterial SSU rRNA
Rfam family: Bacterial small subunit ribosomal RNA
Source: RNAcentral